RNAcentral lists this long non-coding RNA (1769 nucleotides) under Salmo salar (Atlantic salmon). Its description in RNAcentral is "lncRNA (ENSSSAG00000099466.1)". Lineage: Eukaryota; Metazoa; Chordata; Actinopteri; Salmoniformes; Salmonidae. The record is from RNAcentral.
GUUCUUGGACACACAUUAGUUGUGACAGGGGCAAUUUAUUUCCUUCCUUCAACCAAAUACAAAUCAGAUGAUUUUGUUUGACUGAAACUUGAGUGAUGGAGAAAGAGUUUCUUUCACCAUUCUAGUCAACUCUGAAAUUGCAAACACAUUGCCAAAUACGGACUGAUGUAUUAGUCAAAUCUAUCAACUUGAUUGUGCAGACGGCCGAGUUUGUCCCUCAAUGAAUAAUGUGAUAUCUGUAAUGUCUUCAGUAAAAGAGGCAACUAGACAAUCCAAAGCAAACAAUAUAUAUUUAUCAAAUUGUCCAGUAGUAAAUGAAUGCAUUGACUCCAGUGGCGAUUUUCACCCCCCGUAAAAACAAUUCCCAGGACAUAGACAUAUCUGAUAUGGGCAGAAAGCUUAAAUUCUUGUUAAUCAAACUGCACUGUCCAAUUUACAGUAGCUAUUACAGUGAACGAAUACCAUGCUAUUGUUUGAGGAGUGUGCACAAUUAUGAACUUAAAAAUGUAUUAAUACAACAUUUUGAACAGAUAUGCAAUGGUUCAUUGGAUCAGUCUAAAACUCUGCACAUACACUGCUGCCAUCUAGUGGCCAAAAUCUAAAUUGCGCCUGGGAUGGAAUAAUGCAUUAUGGUCUUUCUCUUGCAUUUCGAAGAUGAUGGUACAAAAAACAAACAUGUUUUUUUCUUUGUAUUAUCUUUCACCAGAUCUAAUGUGUUAUAUUCUCCUACAUUAAUUUCACAUUUCCACAAACUUCAAAGUGUUUCGUUUCAAAUGGUAUCAAGAAUAUUCAUAUCCUUGCUUCAGGUCCUAAGCUACAGGCAGUUAGAUUUGGGUAUGUCAUUUUAGGCUAAAAUUUAAAAAAAAGGGUCCGAUCCUUUAACAUGAAAAUAUCAAUUGGGUAAACUCAAUCAAAAAAGCUCAUAUGCAUCAUAACCACUACACACACAAACGUUAUAACAUUCGGUUAUGAUCAGUUUACUUCCCAUAGUAAAAUUCUGCAUGGGUCUACAAUAUUUCUUAAUUGUUACAGUAUUGGGACGCAGCCAAAACACUGUUCUGAGUGGGCCUGUCUGUUACCAACAUGCUCCAGUUAAGAUUAAAGCAACAAGGUUUAUAAAGUUACUCCCUCUCUUCAUCUACUGUAUAGUUCCAGUUCCAUGGGUAUAACAGUCUGACAUCAAACAUAAACAACAAGCCACGUCGUAUAGCUUCCUCAAAACAGAUGUUAGCCACUGCUUCUAUUCACCACCAACCACAGUUGAAACUUUUUUUCCAGCUUGCUUUAUUUUAAUGGAUGGCCUUUCAAUGUUUAGUGGCUGAUGAGCGCCUAGACAUUUUAUCUCUACAUUUCCUUCAUAAUGCUAAGUUUGAAAAUGAUUUGCUAGGAUAUAAUCAGCAUAGUAACUUUUUAGCUGGCCAUGGUAAACAAUGAAGUUGACACACAUCAGUCCAAUCAAAGUUACCGGAGAAAAGACGCUGACUUAUCUGUGGCCAAUGACCUUGAGCCUCCUUGGAUGGGCACUGCCAAUGUAACGCUAUGGCAGCACCCAAGGGGGCAGAAGCUCCCUGGCCCUCAGUGUGCUCUCCCAGUAAGUUCUGCGGUCUUGUGAGUGACAUCACCCUGAGACAAUCCAUCGCAACCAAAGAAGAUCUACGAUGCCUUCGCUCUGUGCUUACUCUGGCUGCCCUUCCGCCACAGAAGGCACUGAGCGAGGGUGAAACUGCUGCGUUCUGGAACUACCUUACUCUAAUAAAAUGUAUCAAAAC